Molecule: ribosomal RNA, 260 nt
Filed under: uncultured bacterium
Lineage: Bacteria
Description: partial 16S ribosomal RNA
Rfam family: Bacterial small subunit ribosomal RNA
Source: RNAcentral
GUCCACGCCGUAAACGAUGAAUGCUGGUUGUUGGCCUUAAAGGCCAGUGACGACGCCAACGCGAUAAGCAUUCCGCCUGGGGAGUACGGCCGCAAGGCUGAAACUCAAAGGAAUUGACGGGGACCCCGCACAAGCAGCGGAGCAUGUGGUUUAAUUCGAAGCAACGCGAAGAACCUUACCAGGUUUUGACAUGGGAAGGACCGGGGUAGAGAUAUCCCUUCUCUUUGGAGCCUUCCACACAGGUGGUGCAUGGUUGUCGU